Non-coding RNA from Oryzias latipes (Japanese medaka), 657 nucleotides. Lineage: Eukaryota; Metazoa; Chordata; Actinopteri; Beloniformes; Adrianichthyidae. The record is from RefSeq and is a predicted model, not a curated record.
UUCCAGGUGUGGGUACCAGCACUGCAUUCCUCUCCUCAGUCAGCCCAACCCACUGCUCCACCAGCCGAGCUUCCCGCUCCAUGUCCUCCUCAGACUUUUCUGGGUGCGAGCGAUACUCGCGGCGUUUGAUAAGGGCGUCUGACCAGCGCUCUCUAAUGCAGUUGAGAUCCUCCUCCUGGAAGCAGACAGACGCUGGAAUCAAGGUCAGCCGGAUGAGUGAGAAAGAUGGUGGUGCAGAGAAGUGCUCGCAGGGAGGUUUGAGUGUUUAUGAAGCUCAAUAUCCUAACUAAAUCCCACUCUUUUGGUGUAUUGUUUAUUGUAUCUCUCUUUCUAUCGCUUAUCUGUUUAUGUGGUCUCCCGCUAGCUUACAGCCCCUCACACCCCCAACCUAACAUCACCGGAAGCAACAAAAAUGGCGAGCAAUGUUUGAGCUAUCCAGCCAUACAGUUUUAAGCCAGAUGCCAGCUCAGACGAGGAAAACAAAGGCGUACGUGGAUUUAGUCGUCUUCGAGUGGCUGCAUCAGAACAGAGCGGAGCAGGGAGCUUUUGGCCCGCCAAUUGUAGCUUCUAUGUAAUGACUAUAAGCUUUUUUCAACGCCAUUGUUUUCGUCUGCUCCUGAUUCACAACAACUCAAAUAAAAAAUGUUCACAAAUGCA